This is a non-coding RNA of Cyanistes caeruleus (blue tit), 407 nucleotides long. The record is from RefSeq and is a predicted model, not a curated record. NCBI's taxonomy places the organism in Eukaryota, Metazoa, Chordata, Aves, Passeriformes, Paridae.
ACAGCGGCCGACCGUGCUGCCGGGCAGGGUCCAGGGCCGAGCCACAGGCCGCAGGGCCGGAGAACCCGGGCACUAACUCCUCUCUUGAGGAAGGAGCUGGACAGGCACGAGCUGAUCCCUCUGGAGAUCCCAGAGGCUGAGGGACAGUCGCCGUGGGCAGCAGCUCCUAUGUUAAUCACUGACCCUGCUGACUCCAGCAUUUACCAGUGUCUCACUGCCCUGUGAGCACCGCUUUGCAUUUGCAACCGAAGAAGUUAAAAGGAUGAAGGAUGAGAAGGGAAGAUCGGCAUCUGUGGAUAUGAACACCAGCCUGCCAGAGGGGAAAAGAGCCAGGAUUGGACAGGUUGAGAGAGUGGAGCUGGCUUUGAAAGAUUGUCUGAAGGGGAUAAAGCUCACCAGGGAAUGGU